GACGAACGCUGGCGGCGUGCUUAACACAUGCAAGUCGAACGGAAAGGCCCUGCUCUUGUGGGGUUCUCGUGUGCCGCACGGGUGAGUAACACGCGUGUAUCCCGCCCCUGUCUUUGUGAUAACUUCAGGGAACUCCGGCUAAUACCGCGUAGGAUCUCCUGCUGCGUGGUGGUGGUUGGAAAGUUUCGGCGGUUGUGGCUGGACUGGCGGCUUAUGCGCUGCUUUGUCUGGUAGUGGCUUACCAAGGCUUCGACGGGUAGCCGGCAUGAGAGGGUUACCGGCCACAUGGGGACUGAGAGAGGGACCAGAAUCGUACGGGCGGCAGCAGUGGGGAAUAUUGCGGAAUGGGCGGAAGCCUGAGGCAGCAACGCCGCGUGCGGGAUGAUGGCUUACGGGGUGUAAACCGCUGUCGCCUGUGACGAAGCGUGAGUGACGGUAAUGAGUAAAGAAGCACCGGCUAACUACGUG
RNAcentral lists this ribosomal RNA (468 nucleotides) under uncultured bacterium. RNAcentral describes it as "partial 16S ribosomal RNA". It matches the Rfam family "Bacterial small subunit ribosomal RNA", at positions 28 to 507 of the family's 1533-position model. The record is from RNAcentral.